Polyodon spathula (Mississippi paddlefish) is the source of this 617-nucleotide long non-coding RNA. RefSeq lists it as uncharacterized. The record is from RefSeq and is a predicted model, not a curated record. The transcript has 3 exons. Lineage: Eukaryota; Metazoa; Chordata; Actinopteri; Acipenseriformes; Polyodontidae.
UGCAGAGACACACAGCGAUAGAGAAUGCUACGGCUGAAUCUCACAAACUGCAUCACAGCCUAGAGGUGAAACCUAAUUGGAUUCGGCUAUACAUCACCAAGGACAGCAGCAGAUCAACUAGAGCAAGAAGACCACUUCGUUCUCAAUUGGAUCUCAAAAGAUGCUUUUGUCAGUUGGCGGACACCCUCGUGCCCACGUCGUGCCUGGUUAAGCUGAAAUCAGACCUUGCCUACCAAUUCGGCCGCGGACACCAUGGAAAGCUCUUCAGAUUCCCACAGGCACUUCAAAUCCAGGUGGACUGAAAUCGUUGGGAAAGUUAAUGCUUUCUCCAAAUAUAUUUAGUCAUCUCCAAAUAUAUUAAAGAAAAUGGGCGGAAUGUCACUAAUUUUGAGGCAGUGGUUUUAUAACAAAUACAUUAAAUGGCAGUGGAAUUUUCAUGGAAUUUUGUGAUAGAAUUUAGAAUGUGGUGUGUGAUCACUUAAACCAUGUGAAGUGGCUCAUUGUAUGCGUAUGCGCUAUUUUUACAGUUUGGUCAUGUGAUGCUGUUAACCAAUCAGAGGUUGUUAUUUUUCUGAGCAGUUUUAUAAUUCCUCAGGUGGUGCUAUACAAGUGAGGAU